Ribosomal RNA from Pteropus vampyrus (large flying fox), 119 nucleotides. NCBI's taxonomy places the organism in Eukaryota, Metazoa, Chordata, Mammalia, Chiroptera, Pteropodidae. The record is from Ensembl.
GUCUACAGCCAUGCUACCUUGAACAAGCCCAAUCCUGUCUGAUCUCAGAAGCUAAGCAGAGUCAGGCUUGGUUAGUACUUGAAUGAGAGAUCACCUAGGAGGACCAGGUGCUGUAGGCA